AGUGAACGCUGGCGGUAGGCCUAACACAUGCAAGUCGAACGGCAGCACAGUAAGAGCUUGCUCUUACGGGUGGCGAGUGGCGGACGGGUGAGGAAUACAUCGGAAUCUACUUUUUCGUGGGGGAUAACGUAGGGAAACUUACGCUAAUACCGCAUACGACCUACGGGUGAAAGCAGGGGAUCUUCGGACCUUGCGCGAUUGAAUGAGCCGAUGUCGGAUUAGCUAGUUGGCGGGGUAAAGGCCCACCAAGGCGACGAUCCGUAGCUGGUCUGAGAGGAUGAUCAGCCACACUGGAACUGAGACACGGUCCAGACUCCUACGGGAGGCAGCAGUGGGGAAUAUUGGACAAUGGGCGAAAGCCUGAUCCAGCCAUACCGCGUGGGUGAAGAAGGCCUUCGGGUUGUAAAGCCCUUUUGUUGGGAAAGAAAAGCAGCAGGUUAAUACCCCACUGUUCUGACGGUACCCAAAGAAUAAGCACCGGCUAACUUCGUG
RNAcentral lists this ribosomal RNA (492 nucleotides) under uncultured bacterium. RNAcentral describes it as "partial 16S ribosomal RNA". It matches the Rfam family "Bacterial small subunit ribosomal RNA", at positions 29 to 507 of the family's 1533-position model. The record is from RNAcentral.